CUGGAUCCAACGGGAGCCACGUGUGAGAACUGGAUGCCCAGCCUUUGACACAUUAUCGAGUGAGUUUAGGGAUCUGGGUUUUGUGUUUGCCGUUGAAUUUUGGAAUGAUCUGGAGAAAUUUGGGUUUUAGGGUUCUAAGGAUUUGAGUGAACCGAAAUUGAUUUGGAUGAGCAACUUUUAGUUUCGAUUCGCGGUGGAGCAAGGAUGAAGAGGUGGAGGAGGAAGGAAUGAAAGACUUAACUUCUAAAGUUUCAAGUGCUUAGCAAAUUUCGAUCAAUGUAUGUUUCAAUACUUCAAAAAAAGGGACAUGCAUCAAAGACUUUUAGGUGGAAAAAAUAUGCAUUGGCUGAAAUGGAGAUAAUUAAGAUUUAAAAUGUUAAAAAUUUUCUUUUUGGCUCACUAAUUAGAUGCAAAAGUGAGACUGUGUGAACAAUUUUACACCCAGAAACAUGAACUACACAGAAUCACAACUGAUCGAACAAUGAGAAAGUAUAUAAGACAAUACACUAUCAAUAGGCUAAAACACUCUAUUAAUUGAUCUAACAAUAGGCUAAUAGGUUUAACUAAACCAUUAGAGACUGCAACAAUGAGAAAGUCUGAAGAUUAAAGUUCUAGUUGAAUAUCUUUGAACCCCUAGGUGUUGGAAACACUUUCAGUAAAUUUGUUCAGGAAAAUAUAGAAACUCAUGAUGCAAUUCCAUCGUCUGGGAUAGCAAAUAUUUACCUGGAAUCCAACAUUAAGCUACCAUUUUUCAUAAGUUUAUUCUUUUUGUUAACUACACUGGAAUUUAUAAAACAAUUUUAGAAAAACUCGAGUCUAGAUAAUGAACUUUUGUUCCAGUUUAAAAAAUUUUGACUUGUGUUCUAAGCAACAUUAUGUAUUCGCAUUUCAAUUGUGAAAGGCAGCAAUAAUCCCUGACUGAAGAUAUUAAAAAUCAGAACUUCUUCUCCAAGUUUUCAUUUAGUUUAUUUCACUUGUCCAUCGGAAUUUUAUGCAAAGAAGAUUAAAUAAAGACAAUAGCAUGCCAAAGAUUAAAACCCCUCAUUUCAAACUCUGCUAAUGCACAACUCUGUUUGGUUUUCUUCUCCAGAGACCAGACUGAGUGAGGAGUCAAGUUCUCCAGUGCACCAACAAUCUCCCGUUCGAGCAGCCAUCACCACCUCACUUGCCACUCCGGCGAGGCACCACCUUGCCACCACCCUCAUGUCUCACUCCCUCUCUACCACUCUCCCUAUUUCCCUCACCUCUUUCUCUCGAUACUGUGCUCGCUGCACAGAAACAGCAAGGCAACCACCGUCGCCUUUUUUCACAGCGAACUACGCCGUAACGAAACCAUCACCAUUAAUCUCGCUACCUAGGCGAGUUUUACCACCCUCUGCAAACUGCCUUCAUGCCUUCUAAUUUCAAUUCUUGCAUUUCUUGUAUGGUAUCCAUGUCUUGCACAUUCAAAUACUUAUAUACCGACUGAGAAUAACAAUAUAAAUCCCACACCCACCUCUUUUUCCCCACUUGAAAAAAUCACCUAAAAACAACAUUAACCACCAUAGUUUAAGAAUCCAAACAUGGCUCCAAAUUUCAAUCUAAUUAAUUAAAUUACAGAGGAUUCUACCUACCUCAUGAAAACAAAUAUGUUCAAUUAAAGAAAUUCCCUAACCAAUGCAGUGCAUCUUAAACUACUUCUUAACUAUGUCAGCCAUACCAAUCUAAUAAAAAAUCCAUGUUUCAAUCGAUUCUUAUUAAUUCCAACUCCAAGUAUUUCAGCAUCUAGAUUAUAGAAAAAUCAUAACAAAACAAAACUCAAUCUUGGUGCUAAAGCACACUUCGUUAACCUCACCUUCAUCAAGUCCAUGAUUCCUGCCAUGAGAUCUUUCUCUUAAUCCAGACUUGGCUUCAGAUGCAAGAUCAAAAUAACGAAGCAUUCAGUUCCAUUUCUACGCACAGCAAAUUAAAAAUUGAAAUAUGUUAUAAUUUACUCGGAAUCUUCAUAAGUAUCAUCAAAACAUAUAAACAGAUACAUUUGAAAACUGAUAAAGCUACCUAAUUAAGUUGAAAAGUUGCUAAUUAAGAUCAGGUGCCAGUGCAUCCAGUGAGCCUUCCAAGGAAAGAUGGCCCCAUGGACUUAGACCUUGAAAACUGAGGCUUGUUUUGCCUUGUAAUUGUAUGAUCAGUAGCAUUCUUAUGGAUUGUAAUUGUAUGAUCAGUAGUAUCCUUAUGGAUUCCCAGAUGAAUCCUCAAAAUUUUGUUCUCAUCUGUUAGCUUAUGCACAUGGGACAAAAGCCGCUCAAUUGUUUCACACUUCUCCUUGUUUCUCCUUAUCAACUCAGCUCACUGCUGCAUAUUUCGUCAAUGAGUUUCGAGAUCUUUUCAUGCAACAUUUUAUCUUUUUCAACCACAUUACCAUCAGAUUCUACACCAUGAUCAAUACUCUCUUUUUCCAAAUAUUCUUCAAAAGUACACAAACCAACCUUUUUUAGGACAGACCAGCAUUUGUUUGUUUUGAUGGCUCUGAAUUUGGUUUCCGUUUUCUCUUUGUGGUGGUCUGAUCAAGAUGCAGUCCAAAAACUAAUUUGAGUGCCUACACAGAUGAACAUCGCAUAAAAAUCAAAAAUAAAAAACAGCAGCAGAGAUAAAAAAAAAGACAAUAAUUCUAAAAAAAUUUAAAUCAAAAGCUUAAGACUAACUCACAGGAAGUUCUGUGAGUUAAUUUUUUGGGCAAAAAAAAAUUCUAUUAAUGCAUUCUCAUACAAAAAAAAAUUCUUUAAAUACUGAUUUCAUGCGAUCCAGGAGCUAAGUGCUUAAAUCAGAAAAAUUUCUUUAACCCAGAUACUCUUAUAUUGCAGUGCAGCAAAGUUUUUCUUGAACGCUGACGAAUAUCACUCUGAAAUUAACCCAAAUAUAUCUCAGAGAUUGCAGAGAUUCAGACAAUCAAUAAUAAGAUGGCCGGAAUGUUCUUUAUUCAUUUGUCCUCCAUACUCUACCCUAAUCUUCUUAGGAUUUUAGUUAAACAACUUGCUCCUGUAACAGCUAUAUUAAAGCAUAAAUAUUCAUGAACACUCAUCACCAAUAGCAAAAAGGCAUAAAGUAUUUUUACAUAAAUCUAAAGAUCCCUUUUGUGUCCCAAACCCAGGUCUGUCCUCUCUUUGCCUUCCUCCUUCAGGGCAUAAUUAGAGAUACCCACCAACAGUAUAACCAGAAAAAUUGCAGUGAGAUUUUAAAGUACGAACUUUAUUUGAUAUUGCAAUGAAAUAUAACAAAAUGUAAAAAAAUUGUUAUUUUGGUAAUAGACAGUGGAAUAACAGAAGAAGCCGAACCCAGAAAAAUUAAAAACACAUAAUCACAGUAGAAGAAGCAAACCCAAGAAAAUACAUAAAAUAAAAUAAAAGGGUGCAACUUUUAUUGGCGGGUGAAUGAGUAGACAAUAAAAAAAAGUGCAAACUUUGAGUUCAAAACAAACCUCGUACCAUUGAAAUUUGAGACUUGGAGUCGCCCACGUGAAGGGUUUUAUGAGAAGACAGUAUUAGGCGUGCUGAAGUUAGUUUAUGCUUUUAGUUGUAAAUUCACAUCUAAUACUAGUUGAACACAAAUUUCAGCAAAUACACAGAAGAAAUAGCAAGAAUUCAUUUCAGAAAUGGGAAAAAAUUAAAUUAAAAAUAGAAAACAAAGGGCCGAAAAGCUGCAUACCUAAACACAAUUUCAUAUCUUUUUAUCCUCUUCGAGUACCGAUCCAUUCCAGAGAGAGGGAGAGAGGAGGAAGGAGACGACGAAGGGGGAGAGGAGGGAGAGGAAGGCGAGAGGAGGAAAACGACGGAGGCGAUUUACUGUCUGUGUUGUUCUCGCGGGGACUGCGAGAUGAACGAGGUGAGGAAUGACCAGGUGGCUCUGGGCUCAAGGUCAGUGAAGCAGUGGCGAAGCCAAGAUUUACCGAGGGGAGGGGAGGGGCGAAAUUCAAAAGAGUGCAAAGUUAUCGAAUGGUUGCUUUCACAUUGGAGAGUGUAAAGUUUUGAGUCAAUAUUCAUAGCAAAAGAUAGUUUUGCAUCAAAGUUGUUGUAAGCAAUAAUAUCAAAACUAAUGUAAGAAGCUUAAAUUGGCAAAGAUUAUAUCGUAAAAAAUAUUGUGUGCUAGUCAAAUAGUGGACCUAGCAGACCUAGGCGAUAUCUAAGCAGAAGCCUAGAUGGAUUUAAAUUAUCGUAAAAUAAGUAUUAAACAAUAUUUACAUUGUUUUUAAAAAAUAAUACAAUAUUUAUAGAUAAUGUGAGAGUUUAAGAAAAUACGGUGAGAGUCUUAAAAGAGAAAAUAAAAGGGAAGUGUUAUUGGCACUCCAAAAAUCUCAUUCUACACUCCUCACAAGUGUAUUUUUAUUUCUAAAUAUAGAAAAUUUUGAAUGUAGAAUGAGAUUUUUAGAGUGCCAAUAACAAUUCCCAAAUAAAAAUACAUACACGAACAAAAAUUUGAAAAAAAAGAGAGAAAUAGGUUAAUAAGGACAAUACUUGGGUACUGCCUUUUUUCAAUGACUACAAUGUCACUCAGUAAAGUUAAAACAUGUGUCCUACUUUUCUUAUUAAAACUAGCAACCAAACACCCUCGUGUUUAAGGAAGACGGGCAUCCAAACAACCCAUUUAUUCCUUUCGUCCCUAACAUCUCCGCACGUCUGUAUACCAUGGUUUCCAUUGCUCUCAUCAUCACCACUCCAUUUCAAACAUAAGCACAAACACAAACAAUAAUCCAGCAAUAAUUUACCCAUUUGAAAACCCAAUUUUUUUUUUCAAAUCUGGACAAACAACCAAAUUUCAUUGCGACCCGCCACCAAUCCUUAUCUCCUUCGGUGACCCACCACCAAUCCUUCUCUACUUCGACGACCCACCUCCUCUCACUCUCUUCUACAGAAAGACUAACUCCUUGUCCUUCUCUUGAACGACGGCGAUUGCUGAAGACUGUCUCCCCCACAGCAAUAGAAACCAGAUCACUGGAGCGGGAAUUCUCAUUUCCGACGAGAGCGGAGGGGCUGAACGAGCGCUCUUAGGCAUGUUUUCCGGCGAGGGGAGUGGCGGCCGCCACUCCUUACCCUCACGUAGCUUCGCCACUGUCAGUGAGAAAAUGAGAGACCUAAACGGCUAGGUUAGAAAUGAGAGUAUGGGUUGAGGGGCACAGAAGAUCUGGAAAUGAUUUUUACCUUUCAAUUUGGAAAUGAUUUUUGCUGACCACUGUCAUGUUCCGUGAUUUCUUCCAUCACAAGAAAUCAAGUUGGGCUCAAAUUGUAAUAGUUUGGGUUCAAUUUGCAAUUUACAGCUUUUAAGUGGUAUUUUAUUUUAGGGUUAAUAUCAGUUUACUAUCCUGAAAUUUUGUGAUUUUCAAUAUUUGGUACAUGAAAUUUUUUUCAUCCCAGAGUCAUACCUCAAGACUUAAUUUUGGGACAAUUUCAUACAACCGUUAGAAAUUCUGUUAACUAAUGACGUGGUGUUCACGUGGACAAUAAUUGAGCGCCAUAUGCCAAUAUUGGCCCACUCCAAUAUUAAAAAAAAUUAUAAAAAAAAAAAAAAGAAAACCCAACCUUCCCUCACCCACCCCCUCCCCCGGCACCCUCUCCCUCUGUUCUCUCUUCUGCAAGUCCCAGCACCUCUCGAUUUUCCUUCAAUUUGACCCAUUUGGGACUGGGAGCCAAAUUAGACUAGGAGUUGGAAUUUGAGGUUCCAGGGGAAAUGGGGAAGACCCAGAUGGCAAUCUGAUUCACCAUUGGAGAUAAAACUGAAUCUGGAUAUUUGCACAGUGCAAAGCUCAGAUCCGUUCACAAUCAAGCUAUUACAGAAGAAGACUUGAGGUUUGGACUUGCAGGCGGCAACGUUGGCCAAUGUCCACACGUUCAGGCAGAGGCUGGUGACCUCGACGAGGAUCAGAAGGGAGAGAAUGGCGGCUGCACUGUGCGAAGCGACGCAGCAGCAUGUGAGGAAGAUGAAGAGUGUGAUGAGGAUGACAGCGAGGGUGAUGUGGGCGAGGAGAACAGAGGCGUGGAAUUGGAGAAGAGAGAAGGGAGAAGCGAGGGAAGAGGUGAGGGUUGCAGAAGAGAGAAAUGAUGGAGAUGGUGCGGGGGGGUGAGGGACGGGUGGGAUUUUAUUUUUAUUUUUAUUUUUUUUGUUUUUGUGUUUUUGUUUUUAUUUUUUUAAUUUUUUAAUAUUGAAGUGGGCUCAUAUUGACAUGUGGCACUCAGUUAUUGUCCACGUGGAUGUCACGUCAUCAGUUAACAAAAUUUCUAAUGGAAAACUUAACGGAUGUAUGAAACUGUCCCAAAAUUAAGACUAGAGGUAUGACUCUGAGAUGAAAAAAAAAACUUCAUGCACCAAAUGUUGAAAACCACGAAAUUUCAGGAUAGUAAACAGAGAUUAACCCUUUAUUUUACUAGUUUCUUUGUUAGUGACAAGUGGCAAGACAGACAUGUGUAAUGGGUUGGCUAUAUAGCCACACUCUCUCUCUUCCAACUGUUAGAAUGAAUUUAAUAUAAUUUCACAAAAGCUGAGCUAAUCUCUUUCCUUCUUCCUUCUCUAUUUAUGUAUCUUGCUCGGUCAAGGUUGAACGGUAGUUUGAAGUUGGUGGGUAUCUUGCAAGUUCCCUCAACUUUAGACUAUGGUAAUGGUCUAUCCAUUUAUACCUGUGGGUGGUGGUAGUGCCUAGUGGUGGCUUGCUGUUGUCUAUAAAAUGUGUGGCCUUAUGCUUGUUGUAAAUAAUGGGUAUGUUUGCCCACAUGUGUGUACUAUAUACUCACAAGCUAAAUAGUAAUGUUUUGUAAUUUUCCAUUGAAGUGGCUCUAUAAAUAGAGCACUUCAUUUGUGCAAAAGAGGGAUAUAAGAAGAAGAAAUAAAAGAGAAAUAUAUCUAAUAGCAAUAAUAUACAUUACUUCCUCAGCAACAGCUUGUGUUGGUAUAAUACUCUGCAACUGCUUCGUUCCUGUCCCGAGUAAAGGUUAUCUCUCUAUAAAUUUUGCCUAUUUAUAACACGUUAUCAGCACGAGUCUCUAAGUAUAACCAUGUCUCAUUUACAUUCACUAAACAAUAAAGGAAAUCAUUCUCUCUUUUCUCUCCGCCGAACGAAAAAAAAAAAAAAUGUUUCCUCUAAGGUUUUUCCUGUUCAUCUUCUUCAUCUGCCUCAACUGCGCGGUAUAUCCUCGUGACGAACUAUUUGCUCCAUGCCUGCUCGUAGUUCUCCAACUAGCGGUUACAUACAUCUUUGAUUACUUGUUUGGUUUGGAUAUUGAUUACUAACAUAGUAUUUAUAUUGAUUUUACUGCGAUCCAAGAUGGUGCGGUAUCAUCGCCUAUCUUGGACUGCAGAUCUACUUUUACUGCAAAUUUCAGGUGGAGCGGUAUAAUCGCCCUCCUUGCUCUCCAAAUUUAAAUUUACCUGUUAUUUAAUUUCAUUGCAAUUUUAGGUGGUGCGGUAUAAUCGCCCUCCUUGCUCUCCAAAUUUAAAUUUACCUGUUAUUUAAUUUCAUUGCAAUUUUAGGUGGUGCGGUAUAAUCGUCCACCCUGCUUUGCAUAUUUAAAUUUUAUCGCAAUUUUAGGUGGUGCGGUAUAAUCGUCCACCCUGCUUUGCAUAUUUAAAUUUUAUCGCAAUUUUAGGUGGUGCAGUAUAAUCGUCCACCUUGCUCUACAUAUUUAAAUUUUCCUGCUGUUUAAAGUAGUGCGGAAUAAUCACCCAUCCUAUACUUAUUUCGAUGAGAAUGGUGCGGUACAAUUGCCCUUCUCAUUAAUUGUGUAAAUCUCGAGCCUGAAGUUUCGAGUACUUAUCAUUUUGGCCUGAAGAUCAAAAAUUUGUAAGAACCAGAAGUUCUAACAAUAUAUUUCUCCAGUACACAUAUUACUGCAAGUUCUUACACACCUCAUUUUUCUUUCAGAAAAGAAAAUGGCAAACUUGGCAAAGCUUGAUUUUGCUGCCCUGGACAUUACUGGAAAGAAUUACCGUACAUGGGUACUGGAUACCAAGAUCCAUCUGGAAGCAGCAAAUCUUGGAGAAACCAUCAAGAAAGAGAGCAGCUCAUCCUCUCAAGAUCGGGCAAAGGCCAUGAUUUUUAUUCGUCGCCAUCUUGAUGAGGCACUAAAGAGCGAGUACUUAACGGUUAAAGAUCCGUUAGCCCUUUGGAAUGCCUUGAAAAGCAGAUACAAUCACCAGACAACGGUGAUUCUUCCAAAAGCUCGCUAUGACUCGACUCACCUAAGGAUCCAGGAUUUCAAAUCAGUGGCUGAGUACAAUUCGGCGUUGUUCAGAAUUACCUCUCAGAUGAAACUCUGUGGGGAUACUAUCACUGAGGAGAUGUUAUUGGAAAAGACUUUCAGCACAUUCCACGCCUCUAACAUGGUACUGCAACAGCAGUAUAAAGCGCGAGGCUUCACUGAAUACAACCAGCUGAUAUCUGUGCUCCUGGUAGCUGAACAGAACAAUGAGCUUCUCAUGAAAAACCAUAAUUCCCGACCUACUGGAUCAGCACCGUUCCCAGAAGUGAAUGUUGCUUCCCUUGAAAGGAAUACCAUAUCCUCCCGUGGCAAUAAUUACAAACGAGGAUGUGGCCACAAGCAAGGUCGGUGGAAAGGGAAAAGCAAGAACCAUGGUGUCCAGUUUCACAACCAGGUUCCAAGGUAUAAUCCAGGCCCGAGCUUUAAAAAUACCAAUCGCCAGAAAGGAAAAGCUCAUGUGAACACUCCUAGAAAUCAUGAAGGAGGUUGCCAUAGGUGUGGUGGCAACGGACAUUGGGCGCGUACUUGUCGCACCCCAAAGCAUCUGGUGGAACUAUAUCAAGCCUCCUUCAAGGAGAAGGGUGUCGAGAUCAAUUUCCUUGACCAGGCUAAACCAAUGGAAACCCCUGAUCCAGUGACCAAUUUAUCAGGACAAUUAAACACAACCCACCUGGAUGCUACAGACUUUAUUAAUGAAAGAGGGAAUGAAGUUUAUGGGUCCGAUUGAAUUAUUUAUGUUUAAUGUACUCAUGUUUUUUGUACCUGUGGUUUAAUGCUCGCAUUUUCAAUUCAAUAAAAGUAGUAUUCCAGUAUGAAUAAACUGCUUUUUCUUUACUCAGAGAUCAUGGAUAAAAAUUAUGGUUAUUCUCAAAACAAGAUCAAUGGCGGAGACUUUUGUCUUGCAGAUAGCGCAACCACGCAUUCAAUACUUCGAGAUCGAAAGUAUUUCUCGAAUUUGGUACUUGCAAAAGUAAAGGUAACAACAAUAUCAGGACCAUCAGAUGUAAUUGAAGGCUCAGGAAAAGCCCAGAUUAUGUUACCAAAUGGAACAAUAUUGUCUAUAAUGAAUGCAUUAUAUGCUACUCGGUCCAUUCGAAAUUUGUUGAGUUUUAAAGACAUACGUCUAAAUGGAUACCACCUUGAAACGAAAAUUGUAGAAAAUGUGGAAUAUUUAUGCAUUACCUCCAAUGAUACCCAGAAGCGUAUAUUGGAGAAGUUGCAUGGUUUAUCGAGUGGAUUGUAUUGUACAUACAUAAAGACAGUUGAGGCAUAUACUGUCAUGAACCAGAAGUUCAUUGAUUCAAAGGUUUACAUGCUUUGGCAUGACCGUCUAGGUCAUCCAGGAUCUACCAUGAUGCGUAGAAUCAUUACCAACUCUAAUGGACAUCCAUUACUGAGCAGACACAUUAAUGUCUCGAAUGAUAAACCUUGCAAGGCUUGUUCCCAAGGGAAGUUGGUAAUUAGACCAUCACAACUAAAGGUUGAUGAUGAAUCCCCAUCAUUUUUGCAAAGAAUUCAAAGGGAUAUUUGUGGACCUAUUCAACCACCUUGUGAACCAUUUCGAUAUUUUAUGGUUUUGGUUGAUGCAUCUACCCGAUGGUCACAUGUUUGCCUAUUGUCUACUCGAAAUGUAGCUUUUGCAAGACUUCUUGCUUAGAUAAUUAAGUUGCGAGCACAGUUCCCAGAUCAUCCCAUUAAGUCCAUUCGACUUGAUAACGCUGGUGAAUUUACGUCUCAAACCUUUGAUGAUUACUGUAUGGCAUUGGGCAUUGAUGUUGAACACCCUAUUCCUCAUGUCCAUACUCAAAAUGGUUUAGCAGAAGCAUUGAUCAAGCGGCUUCAAUUAAUAGUCCGCACUCUGCUUAUGAAAACCAAAUUGCCAGUUUCUGCAUGGGGACAUGCCAUUCUACAUGCUGCAUCAUUGGUUCGAUUGAGACCUAUAGCCAACCACCAAUACUCCUCAAUACAACUCAUGUUUGGACAUCAGCCAAACAUUUCACAUUUACGAGUUUUUGGUUGUGCUGUUUAUGUGCCUAUUGCACCCCCGCAACGCACUAAAAUGGGACCUCAGCGUAGACUGGGAAUUUAUGUGGGUUUUGAUUCACCAUCUAUUAUUAGAUAUUUGGAACCCUUGACAGGUGAUAUAUUUACAGCUCGUUUUGCUGAUUGUCAUUUUGAUGAGACAGUCUUCCCAUCGUUAGGGGGAGAAAAGACCGUUCCAGAAGAACGGAAAGAGCUGACAUGGGUUGUUCCCACCUUAUCUCAUUUUGAUCCUCGAACCCUUCAAUGUGAAAAUGAAGUGAAAAGGAUCGUUCAUCUUCAAAGCAUUGCCAAUCAAAUGCCAGAUGCAUUUAAUGACGUUAUGAAAGUGACAAAAUCGCAUAUACCAGCUGCAAAUGCACCUGCCAGAAUUGAUGUCCCUGUUGGACAAAAUAAAGUGGCAGCGAAUGAUUCAUCUGGUGCACGCCUGAAGCGUGGUAGACCACCAGGUUCAAAAGAUUCAGCCCCUCGGAAGAGAAAGACGAGAGCACAACUGAAUCCAAAUGAAAUCAUUCAGGAAGAGAGAGUAAAUGACAAAUCCACAAUUCAUGACUCUGGACUUCCAGAAGAAGAAAAUGGCCCUGAAGAGACAGAAGUACAUGAAAGCAAAGAAAUCUCCAUAAACUAUGCAUGUACUAAUGAAUUGUGGGAUCGGAAUGAAAUAAUCAUUGACGAUAUGUUUGCAUUCGCAGUAGCCACUGAAAUCAUAUUAAGUGAUGAUAUUGAGCCCCGCUCUGUUGAUGAAUGCAAACAGAGACAAGAUUGGCCUAAGUGGAAAGAUGCAAUCCAGGCAGAAUUAAAUUCCUUGGAAAGGCGAAGUGUUUUUGGACCAGUAGUCCAAACCCCAACUGAUGUAAACCCCGUAGGUUACAAAUGGGUAUUUACAAGGAAACGCAAUGAGAAAAACGAGAUUGCUAGAUACAAAGCACGACUCGUUGCACAAGGCUUUUCACAAAGACCUGGAAUUGAUUAUGAGGAGACAUACUCUCCUGUAAUGGACACAAUUACGUUCUGUUACUUAAUAAGUUUGGUGAUUUCAGAAAAACUUGACAUGCGACUUAUGGAUGUCAUCACCGCGUAUCUAUAUGGAGAAUUAGAUACUGACAUAUUCAUGAAAGUCCCAGAAGGACUUAAGUUGCCUGAAGCAACAAACAAACCAUGGGGUAUGUUCUCAAUCAAAUUAAGGCGAUCACUAUAUGGGCUGAAACAAUCUGGGCGAAUGUGGUAUAAUCGUCUCAGUGAGUAUUUGAUUAAAGAAGGAUAUAUCAACAAUGUCAUCUGCCCUUGUGUGUUCAUUAAGAAAUCCAACUCUGGAUUUGCUAUAGUGGCAGUAUAUGUUGAUGAUAUGAACUUAGUUGGGACUCCUGAAGAGCUCCAUAAAACUGCUGAAUAUCUGAAAAGCGAAUUUGAAAUGAAAGACCUUGGGAAAACCAAAUAUUGUCUAGGCCUGCAGAUCGAGCAUUGUGUUAGUGGAAUUUUGGUCCAUCAAUCAGCUUACAUUGAAAAAAUACUGAAGCGAUUUGGCAUGGACAAGGCUUAUCCACUUAGCACCCCAAUGGUCGUUCGUUCUUUAGACAUUAAGAAAGAUCCAUUCCGUCCAAAGGAAGAUGAUGAACUGGUCCUUGGUCCAGAAGUACCAUAUUUGAGCGUAAUAGGUGCUUUAUUGUAUUUAGCACAAUGUACUAGACCAGAUAUAGCUUUUUCAGUUAACUUGUUAGCCAGGUACAGCUCUGCUCCAACAAUUCGUCAUUGGAAGGGAGUCAAAGAUGUUCUACGAUACCUUCGUGGGACAACAGAUAUGGGUCUCUUCUAAUCAGACAAGCCCACAAAUGAACAAAUCCUUGUUGGAUACGCAGAUGCUGGUUUUCUCUCCGAUCCGCAUAAAGCCCGCUCACAAAAUGGAUAUGUGUUCACUAAUGGAGAUACUGCAAUUUCAUGGCGAUCAACGAAGCAAACGCUAGUUGCAACAUUUUCCAAUCAUUCGGAAAUAAUUGCUCUACAUAAAGCAAGUCGUGAAUGUUCUUGGUUAAGAUCAAUGAUCCAUCACAUCUGGAAUUCAUGUGGUCUACCUUCAAAGACAGACACUCCAACUGUCAUCCAUGAAGAUAAUGCAGCCUGUGUCGCCCAGAUGAAGGAAGGAUUUAUCAAAGGUGAUAAGACUAAACACAUAUCUCCAAGAUUUUUCCGCGCACAUGAGCUUCAGAAGGCUAAAGUUAUUGAAGUCAGACAAAUCCGUUCCAAUGAAAAUUUAGCAGACUUGUUCACCAAAUCUCUACCAAAGUGCACAUUUCAGAAGUUGGUACAGGGAAUCGGAUUACGUCGGCUUACGGAUUUGAAGAAUGCGGAAUCAGGGGGAGAUACAAUUCAGGGGGAGCAUCCAUGAUACAUGCAUGUUGUACUCUUUUUCCUUCGCUUAGGACUUUUCCCACUGGGUUUUUCCUAUCAAGGUUUUAACGAGGCAACCUAAGCAUGCUCAACACCAUCCGGGUAAAGUUGUACUCUUUUUCCUUCGCUAUGGUUUUUUCCCACAGGGUUUUUCCAAGCAAGGUUUUAAUGAGGCAACUGAUGUUGAUAUGUGGGCAUCCAAGGGGGAGUGUUGUAAAUAAUGGGUAUGUUUGCCCACAUGUGUGUACUAUAUACUCACAAGCUAAAUAGUAAUGUUUUGUAAUUUUCCAUUGAAGUGGCUCUAUAAAUAGAGCACUUCAUUUGUGCAAAAGAGGGAUAUAAGAAGAAGAAAUAAAAGAGAAAUAUAUCUAAUAGCAAUAAUAUACAUUACUUCCUCAGCAACAGCUUGUGUUGGUAUAAUACUCUGCAACUGCUUCGUUCCUGUCCCGAGUAAAGGUUAUCUCUCUAUAAAUUUUGCCUAUUUAUAACUAUGCUUUGUUUAUUGGAUAUUUAUAAUAUUAUACAAUUCCAAUUACUUUAGUCUAAAGUAGGAAAUCCAAUUGCAUUGUUCAACUUCAACUGAACAGUGUUUUGGACCGAAUUUCACUUUAUUUACAAAAUUUCCACCACCCCUAUCUGUCGUUCAAAUUUUGCUUAUAUCUUUGUGCAGUGUGUCUGUUGUAUUAUCUGGUCACAGAUACCUUAGUUCAGUAAUUUGAGAAGCAUGGGGAGACAAUAGACUAAUCAAAGAGAUGCAUGUGAUCAACGAUAAACAAGUAAGCAUCAUCCUCUUCCUUCUUUUGUUAUGAUUCGUUGUAUAGAGAAUUGAGAAAAAAGUUGAAGACAAUUCCGCGCUUUUGAGUUAUAGCAAUUAAUAUCUAAAAUGACAUUGAUUAGUUCACUUAAGUGUUGAAUCCUUCGUUAGUUUAUCUAUGGUGUGUGCUUGAGAAUGAAAGCAAUGGACAUUAUAUAGAAUUGAUGUUCCUUUUAAUGUCAGUAAAGAAAGGAGUUGUUCCUUUAUUAGCAAUUAUAUGAAGUAGGCAUAUUAUACAAUGUCUACAAUCGACUAUUUUACUUUUUGUAUAUAAGUAAAAAUGUUGAUCGAAAGCCACAAAAACUACCUAAGGGCCGAAGAACUGUUUAUGUUAGAAGAACAGAAUAUGGUGUAAAGCUUAAAUUUUGGGCACUUCAAAAUAUGUUUUUUUUUUCAAUUAUAAUAACUUGCAUGAAAAUUCAAUUGGGUUUGUUCUAGUCUCCAAGAAUUUUGCUUUGUUUGGUUACUAAUUAAUUUAUGUGGUGGGAGUUUAGUUUUUCCUUUUCUGCCUAUGUAUAUAUAAUUCGAAAUGGACCGUUCAAUUUGCUAUAUAUAAAUUUGUAAUCGAAAAGCUCGAAAAAGAGGUGAAUAAAAAACAAUGGUGGUAGAGUGAUGGAGUUGAGGAGUUGAGAGUUUACAGGGUUUACUUGAAUUUUUGUAUGAUGUCCCUGGUAUGUUAGAUCAUUGAAACUAACUGUCUGGUUGAUUAAUCACUAAUUUGAAAUAUUUAAAGUGUAACUUUUCUUUAAUUCACUUUUCUUUUGUAUUUUCAUUGGAGUGCAGAUAAAAGAUAUUUCUUUUAUCUUUUUCAACCACAAACUUUCCGAUGUCUUUUGAGAGUGGUCCAACUAGAGUAUUGGAUGACAAGUUUAGGUUUAAUAUAUACUUGAGUUCCCACAAGGAAGAUGGUAUUUUAGAAGUUAACAAAUUGGACCCUAACGAUAGACUUCUUAGAGAUACGUCCUCCCAGUUUGUAGCCUUUGUAUUGAAGUUGGAAUUGCUUCGCUCAACUGAUUAUUUCCCAGGCUUAAAUCUAUCAAGUUGUUGAAGUUACCAAUAUCAACGAGAAUGUUACCGUUGAUGUUGGAAAUGCUUAAAUCAAUAGUUAGGAGUGACGUAAAGAUAUGCUAACAGUUUGGGUCUUUUACGACUUGAAAUAUACGGCGUACAGACCGGCAUGCCUUAAAUGAUAUUAUUCAUGACAUUCAUAAAGUUCAUAUCGUAAUACUUACGCAUAAUCUCGUAUUCACAACAUCACUUUUAUGCAAGUAGUUAAAUAAAAAUAUUUAUGACUUAAGCGUUGUCUAUCGUAUCUCACAAUCCCAUAGUAUUCAAUCUACAACUUUCAUUUACCUCACAUAUCUCAGGUUUUGUCUAUCUCUCUCUGCCUCUCUCACGCAGUCUCUCUCUCGACUUUCACUCUCUCAGAUUCGUAUCUCCCAAUCCCAGCGGCCUCGAUAUCUCUCUCGUCUCCAACCACGAUACCACCAUCAUCUCCUGUCAACUCUCGACUCUCUCCCACCACCUGCACUUGACGGUCCUGACUCCUGACCACCAUCUAUGUUCCAAAUAAGGUAUGCAGUUAGGGAUUUAAGAUUGAAAUAAAUUGGGGUUUUCUAGAUUUAGGGAUUUGGAUUUGGUCAAUUCUGGAAUCAAAUGUUAAUUAUAAUUUGUUUAAUUUUGGCAAUUUGAGUGCAAAAUUAGGGUUUUGUUAUUUCAAGUGUUGACAGUAAGACCCUUUGUCAAUUAGUAACCACUUAGUGCUUGUUUUCGAUCUGUCAUUGAAUACGAAAUCACGACUUUUAAUUUUUCAUUUUACAAGUCAUCAUAAGGAAUAGAUAAUUCUAGAAUUAUAGUGCAAACUCUUGAUUUUCAGUUUCAGACUUGGUUUUGUUUCAGAAUUCUGAGGAAUUUUAAUCAUGGUGUUGGGGAUUUGUUAAUUUUGCUCUCUCGCUCUCUCUCGCUCUCUCUCUCUCUCUCUCUCUAUGAUUUGGUUGGGAUUGCAGAGUGACUUGGGUUUCUUUGUAUGCAUGUCCCGGACCUCCAGGUCACAUGGGGUACUUAGCAAGGUUUUACUUUUGCAAAGGAGAUGGAGAUGUUACAGACUUACAGUGAUACUGCAAUCCAAAUAAUCUGUUUUGAAAAUCCAAAUAAUCUGUGAGUAUGUUGUAGCAGUAGAAUAACACUGUGGGGCUUAGCCUAGUACUUAAAUUAUUGACUUUGUUGCUUAGGAUAAUUUGAUUGAGUUCCUUUGGUAUGAUUUAUAUUCACUUAUUUAUUCUAUUUAUUUUUACUAUUUUUCAGGUAGCAUUCAAGUCUUUGGUGAAAUUUUAAACGAAGAGGUUGCAAAUGCAGCGGUAAUGAGUGGAAAAGUUUAUACUUACUUUUAUUAGUAUUGAAGUCUUUAUCAAUUUCUAAGUUAACAUUUUGUUUUGACUAGCUCGUAACUUACCAAUCGAAUCCAUCCCCUUUGACUAGCUAGAGUAUCUUGGUUGGGAACUCUAUCUGUUCCCAGCGCCUAGUAUCCAAAGAUGAAGUUGAGACGGGUUGGGAACUCUCUCUUUCUCUCCUUUUGUUUUAGUUCCCAAGAAAGUUGAUUGGAUUGAAGAAAAUGGAACAAAAAGAAAUGAAAAAAAAAUUGAAAUUUGUUGGUGCUUAUGUUGAUGUUGAAUUUGUAAUAUAUUAAGACCCAAAAACUAGAUAAAUGGCUAACUUUGAUGUAAAUUGAUAACAGCAAGCCACUAGGUCAAAAAACAGUGAGUCUUACCUUAGAGCUUUUGGGGAUAUCAUAAUUGAUAACCAUAUCCACCGAUCGAAUAUCCAAUCUUGUACUUGCCGCAUCAAUUCUUCAUGCAUGAAAUGUUAAGAGACUCAUAAAUUUAUCUACUUGCAAGUAUAUGAUUUUUAUGCAGGUUAUAGGAAACAAUAAAAUCGUAAAGGCAUAAUUUGUGUAUAUUUUAGUCAUUUGAUACAUGUAUGAGUGUAAAACAAUAAAACUGUGAAGGCAUAAUUUGGGAUAUAGGUUUGUAUGAUAGUGAUUAGUUUUUCUUUCAGUAUCACUUUUCUUACUUGAGAUUAAAUGUGUAUUUCUACAUAUAGCAGCACAAUAGAUUUUUUUUUGCUCCAUGUGCUUAUGUCUAUGCAGAUAGAGAUAGCAAUUAGUGUGGUUCAAGCAUUAGGAGCAGUAUUUCAUUCUCAAAGGACUUUGUUUGAAGGUGUUCAAUGAAAAGUGAAGUCUUUCAAGUGACAAAUUUCUUUGUUAUUAGAGGCCUAUUUGGUAUUUCAUGUGUAGUUUGAUAUUGACCUUAGCUUUGUUCAACUUGUAAUACAUUUUGACAAUAUGAUUAUUUAUGAUUAUGGUAAAUGUGUAAUUUUGUCAAUUCUUAUAUAUAUAUAUAUAUUAAUUGUUGAUGUUAGUCUCCAUUUAUGAUGUACGACGUAUGCCGUAAUUGCUUUCACAGUAUUACGACACUAAACAAACGUUGUAUCAAAUAUAAAUUACGGCACACAGGUAUGCCGUAAUUGUUUUUGCAGUAUUACGACACUUCAUUAACACCGUAUCUAAUACCAAUUAAGGCGCGCAAGGCAUGCCUUAAAGAGUAUUUACAACGUGUUUUGCUUAAAUUAUUCACGGCUACUAUAGAACGUCGUAUUUGACAAAACAUCUUUUAUGACAUGGGUUUUUACUGCUUGGGGGCUCACGCUGUGAAUAAUCGUUUACGGCGCUCUUUGUGCACCACAAAAGACUAGUUAUGUUGUAGUGAUAUUAUGUAACAAAUGCUCAAUUUUCUUUUGCACUCUUUUAUGAAUUUCAUUUGGAUGGGAAUGGUUACGUGACAUUACUUGUUACACCAGAAAAUGUCUGGUUUUGGUAUAAAGACUUAACUGCAAAAAGGCAUCUGAAAGGUUUCGUUUAGCUACUAAGAAAGUUUGGGAGGGGUCAAACGUCUUAGGUUGAGAUUACAUAUACAAGGGUGUUAGAUUUACAUAAUGGGUUUACAUAAUGAGUUGUUGAUGACUACAUACACAUUGAGAAUUUAGCUUAUGUCUUUGUGUCCGAUGAGGGAGUGGUUUUUUUUUUUUUUUUUUUUUUUUUUUUUUUUUUUCGGGUGUCAUUCCAUUUUAAUCUUAGUUCCAUUCAAAUGAAGAUAUUUAAAGAACCUAACGUAAAACAUCUGUACAAGCAAAACACAUCUUAGCAACGCCAAUAAAAUUAUCUACGAGAGUUGAUCCAAUCCAGGCAAGCCGCACGGUGGGUUAUUGAGGACAAAGCUGCCGAGAUCCAUAUUAAAACUCCAAUUUGGCAACUGAUGAGCAACACAAUUCCGCUCCCUAGAUACAUGCUUCAUGCUUCAGCUCAGCUCACAUCUAACCAAUUGACUCAUCAAUGUUUUGCAUAUGCUCACAAUUGUAUCAAGAGGAUAAUAACUAUCAACCAAAUUUUGUUAGAACAAAGUGACAGCAAACACCUCUGUCAAUAAAAUCUCCUUAUCCCAAAUGGACGCAGAUUGUCUGCCCUCCUAGUUGUGGUGCCGUUCCAUGCCCUCCUAUUUUGUGCGGUUACGGUUAAACCACAUCAACAUUUUAUAUUAAUUUUUUAAUGAGAUAAUAAGACAAAAAAUAAUAAAAAUAUAAAAUAUUGACGUGGCUUAACCGUGGCUGCACAAAAUAGGAGGGCAUGGAAGGGCACCACAACUAGGAGGGCAGACAAUCCUUGUCCAUCCCAAAUUGGCUGAGAACUCUACCCACACCAAUAUUGAACCAUCAACGUCAAGCUUUCACCCAGUUCUCGACUUUUUGCGUGUUUACUACAAGUAUGGAAUCUGAAGGGCUAGUUGAUUCGUAGCUCAAUACUUGAAAAUUAGGAGUCAAAUCAAAAUGUUUAUUUUUUAUUGGUAACACAUUUGCAAAUUUGGUUUAAAAAUUAAGUUACCUGAUAUUAUCCUAAUAUAAAUAUCUUUUGACAAAUAAAAAAUGCAUACAAAGAUAAAUUUGAGUGGUGAUAUCCACACACUCAUUUUUACCUUUCACACACCUUUAUUAUUUCCCGGGCUGUUGAACAAUUGAAACAAUCAAAUAAUAUAAAUUAAUAAGUGAUGUGUGAAAAAUAGAAAUAAGCGUGUGAAGAGCCACAAAACUAAACAGAUACCCAAAAAUACCACAACACACAAAGUCAGUCGUUACAUUUCAGUUGCAAAUGAAAAUUAUGAACACUGGGAUUUGCUCUCUCUAUCGCUGAGAGAUUCUCUGUUAUUGAUGGCAAUGGCGGACAAUGGCAGUCGUCUGCAAAUGCAUAACAUCGAGGAGGAGCUUCUUCUGCUUCAGAGCAGUCAGUUUCGACGACAAGCCCGACCGCCGAAACCUCCUCCGAAACGUUUUGACCCUUCCCGUCUUUAAAAAAGGCCUCUUCACUUGCUGCAGCCCAUCCCUUGCCGGAAGCAGUAUUCUCAGGUUUAUCUCACACAAUUACGGGUUUUUCCCGUUUUCUUUUGAGUUGCACGGUCUGUUUGGUUCCCCAGAAAACGCAGGAAAUUUUUGAAAGUUUUUGAGCUUCUGUAGGGUUUACUAAAGUGAAUACUUGACUAGGUUCAGUUGGGUUGCUGAUAAAUUCAAACAACGAAAUUUAGACGCGAAUGCUUUUAAUUGAUUUGAAGAGAAGUUUCUGAGCUAGUUUAUUGCUUUUGAAUGUUCAAAUUGGAUCCUAUAAAUGUGUCUGUGUGAUAAUUAGAUGAUUUGUUGCUUGCAGUAUGGAAGCACGAGAGAAUUCCAUAUAUGUGAUGAUGCCAGUUGAUGCCUUUUGCAUUGAUGGUACAGGGCGUCCAAGGAUUAGGAAGUAAGGUCAUCUCCAACCGAAGGGUCCAGAGGGCCAGAGGGCCGAAAAUAGCCCUAAAACCGUCUCCAACCGAGGGCUAGGCCAGAGGGCUCUGGAAUCUGGGAGGGCCCCACGGGAUCGGAGAGGGCUGGAGGGCUGGCUGCUUUCGGCCAGCCAGCCAGCCCCGGGCUGGCUUAUUUUUUUUUUAAUAGUUCUACUAUUAGUGUCGGUUAUAACCGACACUAAUAGUUUGAAUGUUUUUUAAUACAACGGCUAGUAGCCGUUGUAUUAUUAGGCCUUUUUUUUUUUUUUUUUUUUUUUAACUUUUUAUUUUCCCUUUUUUUUUCCUUUUCAUAUUAAUCAAAUUUUGUUUCAUAUUUUUUUUCAAUUCUAUUUUACAAAAUUUGUUUCAAUUUUUUUUUAAAUUCUAUUUUUUUCCUAUAACUUCUAUUUUACAAAAUUUGAUUCAUAUUUUAUUUCCUAUAACUUCUAUUUUACAAAAUUUGAUUCAAAAUUUGUUGACGUCACCUAGCCGUUAGAUUUGAAUUUAAAUUGUAGUUUUUAAAUAAUAAAUUAUGUUUGGCCCUAUGGCCCUUUGGCCCUCGGUUGGAGACGGUUUUUUGUGACAGGGCUAAAACGAGCCCUCUGGCCCUCUGGCCCUCGGUUGGAGACGGAGGCAAAUAUGGCCAUGUACUGUUUAUUAAAAUAUUAAUAUCUUGGAGAAUCUUGGAGGGCCAGAGGGCUAAAACGAGCCCUCUGGCCAGUCAUCGGUUGGAGAUGGCCUAAGUUUUAUUAUGACUUUAUGUUGAUGAGGCUAUGAUGCAUUUUCAUUCUUAAUUUAAUUGUUGUACUCUUUUAAACGACAGAAUAUGAUUAGCUACAAGGUUGCAGCUAACUAUUUUGAUCUGUUCCCAAUUCAAGUUAUGUACGCGUACAUUUCAAAAUGGUUCUAAAUAAAAUUUAUUUUUAAUUUAGUUUCCUUUCAAGUGAGACAGAAUCUCCUUAUAUAUUGCACGAUUUAUUGUUGUUUCAGAAUCAAGGCCUUAACUGUAGCUCUGAAAGCACUCAAGUUGGCUGGUGUCCACGGAAUUGCAGUUGAGGUUUGGUGGCCUCUUGCAUAUGAUUGGUCUCUAUAUGAAGGGCUUUUCAAACUGAUUUCUGACUCAGGUUUGAAGUUGCAUGUUGCCUUGUCUUUUCACUCAAACGUUAACUCUUCUUCUAGCAGAAAAGGGGGUGUAACUCUUCCGCUUUGGAUCAUAGAGGUUUGUUUUCUCGGCAAUUUUGAAAUCCCAUUUGACUGUUUGGCCUUUUAUUGGUAAAAGUGCACAUGGCUGUACUGGAAUGAUUAAUUUACCCAGUCAUACUCUUUUGUGACAACAUAAGAAACAUAACCCAUUUGGAUGACUAGAGAUAGUAUCAACUUUUCUUCAGUUUCCUGCUCUGCAACAUGCUAUGGUCCUGUGUUCCCCAUUAGCAUACUUGAUUUUAGCUUUGAUGUGCAUAAAAAGUUUAUCUUUGCAAAGGGAUGUAACAGAAAAAUGAUAGUUUGGCCUUCAUUACAUGCCCAUCAGUUUGAAUCCUGAAUUUAGAUAAAGAAGUUGACCUCUUCUGUUUUUUUUUUCCUCCCAGAUUGGUGAUCAGAAUAAGCAUAUAUAUUAUCGGGACCAAAAUGGAUUUUCCAAUGAUGAUUAUCUUACACUUGGAGUUGACCAUGUUCCUCUCUUUUGCGGCCGGACUGCUCUCCAAUGUUAUGAAGAUUUCUUGUCAGGUUUUGCUAAGAAAUUUGAAUCCUUAAUUGGAACUGUGAUAGAAGAAAUUGGUGUUGGUCUUGGAUGUUACUGUUACACUAGAACCACAAGUAUGAAGCCAGUCCAAUGAUUUCUUAUGCAACAUUGUUACAUUGCUCACACUGAUAUCCUGCACAUCCUUUUGGUGAUGGUAGAUGGAAGUUUCCUGGAAUCGGUGAAUUCUAAUGCUAUGACAAGCGCAUGUAUGCUAAAAAUCUUUCAUUCCUGUGACAGAAAUUUGGUUGCUAUUGAACUUUUCCUAUUUACAACGUUGUUCCUUUUAGGAUGGGCGACCUAAAGAUGGCUGUAGGCAAGGAAGGAAAGCCUCAGUGGGGAGGGAAGGGACCACAAAAUGCUGGCUGUUACAACAGUCUCCCAUCUGAAGUUCCAUUCUUUGAAGAGGGAGAGGAAAGCAUUCUUUCUGAUUAUGGGUGUUUUUUCCUUGUAUGAAACUGAUGGAAGCAUCUUGCUUUAUUAUUUCCCAUGAAAAAUUUCUGCAUAACUGAAGCCUAGUGUAAAUUGCAUGAAAUCAUUGUUUGUAUUUCAUCCUCGAACUACCACAUUGUUUCUUUAGCCAGGAAACACUUCUGUGUACGUGCCUGUAAACAACAUGGGCCUGCAAUAUAUAUUUUCAAUCUUUAGUGGAACUUUUCUUAUAACUAACUCUAUUUGCUUCUAGGGGUUAUACUUGCAGACUGUUUGCUACUGGAGUCUUAAAUACUCUUACGCAACAUGAUUAAAAGUAGAUGCAAUUUGAUUAAGAAUGAAAUGCAUUGAUGCUUGUCUUCUGGAAAGAAAAAAAAAUCAUCAUAGGAUGUACUGGUUAGUAAACUAAGGACAAUUAUGGAUGUAUAAGUGGAAAUUUAAAUCAUGUAUGGUUCUUUAUCAUGCAAUACUUGGCAUAACAUAAUUAAACUUAUUGGAAAACAAUGUGGAGCUUAGGAGAUCUGACAGUGGCUUGACUUGUUGUAGGAAUGGUACAGUGGUCGGUUGCUCCAUCAUGCAGAUGAUAUUCUUGCAAAGGCAGCUAACAUUCUGAAGAAAUAUCAAGAAUAGAAGCAAACUUCUAUUCUAUUGGCAGCUAAAAUUGGUGGUACCAGAUGAGAGCACAGCCUGCUGAAUUGACAGCUUGAAACUACAGCAGUGCUCUUAAAGAUGGUUAUGAUCAUGUUGCUUCAAUUUUGUCUCGUCAUGGAGCUGCUUUGCAUGUUUCGUAAGAUUCCAAGUUUUAAGGUUCUGACUAGAAUUUUGUUCAUUGUCUAACCUGAUAAUUAGGGUUGCUUACACAUUCGCUUGAUUUCAAAUGUAUCUAUCUACCAUGUUCACGUACUAAAUAUUUUAUUGCAGCAGCUUAGAAAUGAUGGAUGGUGAUAACCCGGCAUCCUAUCUUUGCAGUCCAGAAGGAUUACUCCAACAGGUACGGGGCCUGUUAAUUAAUAACACUUCCUUAGCUUGUGCUUUGUUGGUACUUUUUUUAACUUACUUUAGAAAUUUUAUCUGUAUAAUUCAAGCUUUUAAGUUAGGUAGGACUAACCCAUGUAGCUGUGCUUGUCACAGCAGGUCGUGCAGGGUCUCUAGGUUCAACAUGGGCUUGGAACGGGCCAAUAUGAGCUUUUUCAGUAUUACAGAUAUUAGGUAUUGUUGAUAUGUUUUUUAGGCUUCUUUUAGUGUCUUAUAAUUCAUUCUGAAGUAAAUCUUUAGUUUUAAUUGGGUUGUCUUGCCCAGAUAAUAAAGAAGAAACAUAUGACAAGUUGAUCAAUAACCAUUUUUCUGUUUUAUUGAAGUUUGGAAUAUAAUUGAUAAUUUGAUAUUACUAAACAACAAAAAUAGAAUUGCAUCACUAUACCGUAUAUUAGUGUCGUACUACUUUAGAUUGGCAUGGUCUGUCCAUUUACACUGGUGGGUGGUGGUAGUGCCUAGUGGUGGCUUCUGUUGUCUAGAAUUCUAUCGGUCAUUUGGUUUCUUCGAUAAAAUGUCUGACCUUAUGCUUUGUUUAUUGGGUAUAUAUCAUAUUAUACAAUUCCAAUGUAGUCUAACAUGAUUCGAUUUGCACCAGAUAUGGAGUGUUUCAAAGAAAUGGGCACAUUUGAUCGGGAGAAAUACCAAUGAAGGAUUUGACAGGGUCAGUUCUUCCUUUGCUCAAGAACAAAAGCAAAUUUCAGCUACCAUUUAUUUCUAUUAGACAUAUAUUGGAGACUUGGGAGCAGCCUCUCCAUAAAUGGAGAUAAGGUUAGCCGACAUUCACCUCUCCCAGACCCUGCGUAAAGCGGGAGCCUUGUGCACUGGGUACGACCUUAGACAUAUAUUGGAUAUUGCAAAUGUCUUAUAACUAGAAACACAUGGCUUCUGAUAGCGUUAGUUAAACACUUCUUCUUUUGCCCAUUCUGUGUUGCGCGUUCACGCGUCUGCUUUUCUCUUGCACGUUGGUUUAUGGCAAAUACAUACUAACUAUUACCAUUCCCAGGCCGAAGCUGUAAGAUCAUUUACAUAUUUCAGAAUGAAUGAUAAGAUCUUUAGGGCUGAAAAUUGGAGUAAUUUCCUUCCUUUUGUUAAAAAGAUGAGCACAAAUUGGUGAAGCAACCAAAAAACCCAACUUAAAUACUAAAUUUAUUGAUCUAGAGUAGCAGCCUCACUACCCUAUAAUUUUUUGUCAAGGGCAUGUGUAGAAGUUAAGAAGUUUGUCACUUCCUGAUAUAUUGACUGAAAUAACUUUGUGUUUCCAUGGCAGGCGUUCUUGACCUGGAAGUGUAAAUUUUUGAAACGGAUUUGGUUGGCCGUAGAAACUAAAUGCUUUACUAUCAAAAUACGAGAAGAAUAAUUGGAAUUGCAAUCUUGGUACUACUGGUCACAUUGCCUAGUCAAAUACAGGUACAACAUUUCAAUUUAAGGAAUAUACACAUACUGUCAUAUCCGUCACUAUACGAAAAUAAUGUAGUCUUUGCAGAUCGAAAACAACAAUAAGAAAAUGGAUCCGAAAAUAUAGAGAACAAAAAGAACUAAGAGUUCACUCCUUCACAGUCCUUCAAAUACUUAGUCUUGAUUUUGGUGAGUGUGAUUGCAGCAUCUUCUUCACAGUCCUUCAAAAACUUAGUCUUGAUUUUGGUGAGUGUGAUUGCAGCAUCUUUCAUGUUAAUCCUCUCUCCCGGCAAUGCUGCAGUACAAGCUAAAGCUAAUCUCAUAACGGAUGAUAAGCAAUCCCUCUUGCUCACAAAAUCACCAUCUUCCUCCGCCCCAAGUAUAUCGGCAUCCACAACUUCACCUAUUGCAGCAUCUGGAAAUAAUGAAUCUGCAAUCCAUUGCUUUAAAUUCAUUUCCCCAACAAACAUCUCAUCCGUUGGCUUCCUUUUUGUGAAUGUCUCCAUGAGUACAAUACCAAAACUAUACACAUCCCCUCUUGUCGAAACGCUUCCUUCCAUCCCAAACUCUGCAAAAUUUGUAUGUGAAUUUAGUUAUAUAUGAUAAAAAGAAAAUUAUAACUCCUAAUAAGACCAACAUAUACAAAAUUGAGAAAAUACAUCACCUGGAGCCAUAUAUCCAACUGUGGCUAGGGUCAUGGUUUCUGUCAUCGAAUGUCCACCGCCGAUGAGUCUUGCAAUGCCAAAAUCAGCAACAUGUGCAACCAUAUCAUCAUCUAGUAGUAUAUUGCUUGGUUUCACAUCACAAUGAACAAUAGGUACCGAGUAACCAUGAUGAAGAUAUUCCAGUGCCAAUGCAACAUCUUUCAUUACGUCCAGCCUCUGCAGGAUAUUCAUGGAGCUGUUUGGAGAAUACAACCAGUUUUCGAGGCUUCCAUUAGGCAUCAAUUGAAGUAUCAGGGCUUUGAAAUCAAGUUCAUCGCAGCAACUUAUGAUUUUAAUAAGAUUCCGGUGACGGAUAUUGCUUAGCAUUUCACAUUCCCUAUCAAAACUUUUGAAUGCCCCUUCUACCUGUAAAUUGAAAACCUUGACGGCAAUGUCUAUCCCGUAUGAAAGUGUUCCUCUGUAUACUGAGCCAAAACCCCCCGUGCCUAGUAAGUUACUCUCGUGAAAUCCAUUUGUCGCAUUUACAAGUUCUAGGCGCGAAACUCUUCUCCAAAGAACUUGAUGUAGCGAGGCAGUUUCUCUUACAACUUCGACAUUCCUUUUGUUGCAUAGUAUCAGAAUCAAUGCAGCGGCCGCUAGGAGUAUUACUGGUAUGACCCCUGAGAUGAUAUAUUUAGCUUUCCUCCAAUUUGGCUUAACUUUUGUUCUAUUUUUGCACAGGGGAACAUGGAGUCGGGAAGCACCGCAGAGCGCACCGUUGGAUACAAAUGAAUCGGCAGAGAAGUUUCCGAAAGGCCCGCCGGUUGGAAUUUCUCCUUGGAGUUUGUUGAAAGACAAAUUCAGAUGCUUGAGAUACAAGAGUGCUUCCAAUGACUUUGGGAUCUCUCCAGAUAGAUUAUUUUGGGACAAAUCCAAGAAUUCUAGGCUUAGCAAGGUUUUAAAUGAACUGGGAAUAGGGCCUUGUAAAUAAUUGUUUGCCAAGGACAAAUUAAUCAUAUUUUGAAGACCACCAAUGCUACCGGGAAUGUUUCCGGAGAAGUGGUUAUUUGAUAAAUCUAUAUCCACCACUUCUUUCAACUUUCCGAUGUCUUCUGAGAGUGGUCCAACUAGAGAAUUGGAUGACAAGUUUAGGUGCAAUACAUACUUGAGUUCCCACAAGGAAGAUGGUAUUUUUGAAGUUAACAAAUUGGACUCUAACGAUAGAUUUCUUAGAGCUACUGCCAAACCACCCAAGCAGGAAGGAAUAGAACCAGAGAGCCGAUUAUGACCCAAACCUAACUCGGCUAGGUUGGUUAGUUGACAGAGUUCAUACGGGAUAUGUCCUUGCAGUUUGUUAUCAUACAGAAACAAACCUUGGAGAUUUUUUAGCCUCUGUAUUGAUGUUGGAAUUGCUCCACUCAACUGAUUGAUUUCCAGAUGUAGUUCUAUCAAGCUGCUCAAGUUGGCAAUAUCAACGGGAAUGUUACCCCUGAUGUUGGAAAUGCUUAAAUCAAAAUAUGUGAGUGGCGUAGAGAGAUUCCCACGAAAAGCUGGAAUCGUGGUGUUUAAUGGAUUACCUCCCAAGUCUAAUUUUGUCAAAUUUCUAAGAUUAAACAAGCAAGAGAGAGUAGAAGCAUCAAUCGUCAAAUGAUUCCAGAACAAGAAAAGAAGCUCGAGGUUUUUCAAGGAACAGAGCGUGCUAGGAAGAAACCCGGUAAAUGAGUUUGUGUCCAUGGCUAGGACCCUGAGCUUGGAAGCAUUGGAGAAGUUAGGGAGUGUCCCGGCCACGAGGUUAUUGGAGGAUACAGAAAAGAAUUCUAGGUUUGGAACAUUAAGACCUAUGUUUGCUGGGAGGCCACCUGAGAGCUGAUUUAAAGUAAGCGAUAUUACUCUAAUCAUGGAGUUAUUGAAGAGCUUGGAUGGGAUGACACCAUUGAGAUUAUUAGCACCCAAUCUCAAAACCUCUAACUGCGGAAGAUCACCAAUCUCAUCCGGUAUUGUACCUAUCACAAUGUCAGCACGUUUGCAUUAACUUUGUAACUUCGGUUUAUCUAAAAACUAAAAACGAAAUGAUUGUAAAACGCCCCCAAAUUUAUUACCUGUUAAAUUAUUGAAACGAAGAAAAAUCUCGGUUAAGUAGGUCAAAUUGCCAAGACUUUUGGGUAUGCUCCCACGGAAAUUGUUAGACUCUAAUGCAAUUACACGAAGCUCUUUGCAUUGCCACAGUUUGGAGGGAAUCAGACCGUCAAACUGGUUUUGAUUCAAAGAAAAUCGUUGAAUACUCGAAAGAUGCUCACACAUAUUGUCCGGAAGAAUACCACUCAUGUUGUUUCCGGAUAAAGCCAAAGUAGUCAAAGAAGAUAUGUUAAGGACAGGCACAAAAGCAGAGCCUUUAGGGCAUUGUCCUGCACAAACAACUCCUCCAACUGACCUAAACUGCCUAUCUCGUUCGGAAGUUCUAUAAAAUCAAUCCGUGUAUAUUGUUAAAAUCAUGUAUACAUAUAUAGGAGCAGCUUCUUAUUGGGAAUCCCGUUGUACCAUAGCAAAAGUGGGAUACAUUCUAAGGACCAUGUACUCACCAUAUAGGACCUCUUUUUUGCUCUAGAAUACGAGGGUCUUACACGGUCAAUAUACGAUCCUACAAUAGUCCUCUCAUCUCAUUUUUUGCCGAAGUUGAACAAGAUCCCAGCUAAGAAGGGGCUUGUGUUUAUGUGUGUGUGUGUGUGUUUGUAUAUAUAUGUAACAAAACCUCAGUCAUACAGUAUACCUUCGAACUUGUUGUCGUCAAGGUAUAUGCCCUUCACCAUUGUUAAGUUGCCUAUUUCUCUGGGUAUACUACCUGUUAAAUAUGUGCAUGCAUUCCAACAAAAAAGAAGGAAAAAAAAAAACAAACGAGAUGAUUGUUAUACAUCUUAUAUAUAGAGGUUAAAAUGAAACAAAGAUGUUAAAAUGUAAUGAUGAAGCAAGCAACAUUAAUUUAUAUUCCUAGGUAGUUGGUAAUGGUGGUAUGUACGUACCCGAUAGUUGGUUCCUCAUCAGGUAAAUGUUUUCGAGUGCAGAUAAGUUGAAGAUAGCAGCGGGUAUGAAACCAGAGAAGUCAUUAUCGUACAAUUUGAUGGUUUGAAGUUUAGCAAAGGACCCAAACCACAAAGGAAUGGUUCCCAUAAAGCUGUUGUUUCCAAAGUUAAUCGCCUUCAACCGGCGCAAACGAGACAGUUCUUGCGGUAGGGGACCAUGAAAACUAUUAUUCUGAAGGCCCAACUCAACGAGAAAUGAGAGGUUGCCAAGAUGCGGAGGAAUAACUCCGGCAAGACCCAUGUAAGGGAGAUUUAAGGCCGUGACUCUGUGGUGGCGAGCACCGCAGGUAACGCCAACCCAGUUGCAAAUGUUGGAAUUGGAGGCAGAGGACCAGUUGGCGGUCAAGAUGUUUUGAGGGUCACUAGUGAUGUGAGCCUUGAGAGCAAGAAGCGCAGAUUGAUCUGUGCUGAAAUUGGUAUGAGCUAUUGCUAAUGCUCCUGCAGUUAAGUAAUUAGCCACAAUCAUCAUAUAGAUAUAACACAAGCAUUGUAUCAUCGACAACAUCUUUGAUAGUAGGAAACGACUUCUCUCCUUAAUUGUAGUAGUUUUCGUCUUUCGGUAUAAAUUCGAUCGAAAACUAGAACUCAUUACAUUCACAUAAAUAGGGAAACAAGUUGGUGUUACCAAGACUUGUGAACGACUUUUGUACUGGUUUGAUACUGAGGUGCUUUUAUAAAAAAUGGGUAUAAAAAAAAAAGAUGAGCUCAAAAAGGUGUUUGGUAAACACUUAAAAACAGUUUAUUUUCACAGUUUUGGGUGAAAAAAAAUUAAAAGCGUGAAGCAGCAAAAAUAAGCUUAUUCUCACAGCACAACAUAAACAGUUUUUUUUUUCAAAGCACAGCAAUACCAAACCAGCCCUUAGACUUGCCCGGCUUCUAUGUCAAGGUGAGGAGACUUUAGAUUUUUUAACAUAUCAAACACACACCAUUCAUUUUUUGCUGAUGGCGUAGGUAGGUGAGGAGGAAUGGUGACUGCGAUGUAAGAGAGAUUCAAGGCCACGACUUGAAUGUGGCAUACCAACCCAGUUGCAACUUUCAAGUGAGCAAUCAAUGCUAAGGAUGUUUUGGUCUGUGGUGGUGAUAUUUGGUAAUUCGCUGAUAGGUUAGCUAGGUGAGGAGGUCUAGUCUAAGUCCGACUUUUUUGUCGAAGUGAGGACUUAGAAUAGUGGAACGAAGGCUUGUGAUUUGGUAAUUGGUGCUGCCAGCCGACGAGUUCUGUCCAUUUUGUGGGCAUAGCUGGAGAUGCCCAAAUGUGGAAUUUUAGUCUUCAGUUCACCAUCAAAACAAACAAUACCAUAAAUUUCAAGAUUGAUAUUUAAUGAUGACAUACAUUUUGAUUCAAAUGCAAAUGCAAAUGCGACCAAACACAUGACAGUUACAUUCUUCCGGAUGAAAUGUUUUCGACGACGUUUACAUAUAAUCAAGCUCUAGUUGAACACUCUUCGGAUUCGAAAAUCAUCUAAACUUGGCUAAUUAGUCAAGAAUUACGGUCUUAUGCUUCUAAAUUAUUAAUCACGAUCGCAUGUAUAAAUUCAUUGCAGCAAUAACGAAGAAGGGAAGUAACAACCAGAGAUUGAAAACUAGUUCAGAUACGUACAUUCACUAUCAUGCAGACUUGCCAUUGGAGACAGCUCUGAAUAUGCAAAGGUUUUUUAUAGGAAAAAUUAGUAUCCGGUCCCUAGUUCUUACUGUUCAUUGAUUAAGACCUUAUUAGUUCUCAAAUUUUGAUUCAAGUCCCUAGCAAUAAUGUGAUAAUGAAUUUACAUGUUUAUUAUAUAAUUUUUUAAUAUAAAAAUUAGUAAUUAAUUUAGGGUUUAAUACUCACACCUCUAUUAAACUUCUAAUUAAUUUUCAAUUCAAACAUUUCCAAAAUAAUAAAAAAUUAAAUUAAAUUAAGUUUGUACCUAUUACUUUAUAUAUAUAUAUAUAUAUAUAUAUAUAAAGAUUCUCAAUUUUUUAAUCUUAAAUGUACCCAUUCAUAUAAUUUUUCAAUUUUUUUAAUCUUAAAUGUACCCAUUCUCAAAUACAUCAAUUUGUUAUAUGUAAAAUGUACCCUUUUUUUUAAUAUAAAAUCCAUUCAAAUUUUUUAAUCCAUGUUUAAACUUAUAUGGGUACAUUCUUUUUCGUUGAUUUGAGAAUGUAUCCAUGUUUUGAUACAAUAACUUUUUUUGUUAAUUUUGGUUAAUGUACCCAUACAUAUAUGUACACACACAAUAUAAUAGAGGGUAUAAUUUAUAUUUUAUUAUUUUUAAUCCCAUAAAUUAUGGGUUUUAUUUAAAAUCUCAUUAAUAUAAACAAUUACAAAUUUCAAUUUUUAAUUUUUAAUUUAAAACAUAUAGUAACUUACAUUAUUAUAUUAAUGUCAGGACCUCAAUCAAAAACUAAAAACUAACAAGGUUUCAAUUAAAAAAUAUUGAUAGCUAGGGAACGCAUCCAAAGUGUCCAUUUUUUAUAUGACUUCAACAAGAGAGGACAUACCAUGCUUAGAGAUGAAGCAGGCCUGCACCUGCAAGCCACGGUGGUAAUCGAAUUCCAGUGAAAGGGAACAAAACUCCAGCCGCCACCGGCAUGCUGAGGAUAUUGUAGCCCAGGGCCCAGACAUAAUUCAAUCGAAUUUGAGACAUGGUCUUUCUAGAGAGAUCAAUGGCUGUAACUACAUCUUCCAAGUUGCUCUUCCUCAGAACUAUAAGCAGCUUCUAUAACUACGUCGGUGCCCGCACCAAUUGCCAUACCAACAUGUCCUGCAACCAUUGCCGGAGAGUCAUUAAUUCAAUCUCCCAUCAUUGCCACCACCAUUCCUUUCAUCUGCAUCCAAAUCCACUUUAACAAGUCAGAAAACACUAUGUAAGAUAGAUAACUCACAUAUCAAGUCAGAAACAAACUUAAUAUAGAAAAAUGAGUUUGAAGAUUGUUUGCAAGGUUUAGCAAGGUUUUAAAUGAAAUAGGAAUAGGGCCUUCUAAAUGAUUGUUUGCCAAGGAGAAAUCAAUCAUAUUCUGAAGACCCCCAAUGCCACCGGGAAUGCUUCCGGAGAAAUGGUUAUUUGAUAAAUCCAUAUCCACCACAUCCUUCAACUUUCCGAUGUCUUCUGAGAGUGGUCCAACCAGAGAAUUGGAUGACAAGUUUAGGUGCAAUAUAUACUUGAGUUCCCACAAGGAAGAUGGUAUUUUAGAAGUUAACAAAUUGGACCCUAACGGUAGAAAUCUUAGAGCUACUGCCGAAGUACCCAAGCAGGAAGGAAUAGAACCAGAGAGCCGAUUACCAUCCAAACGUAACUCGGCUAGGUUGUUUAGUUGACAGAGUUCAUACGGGAUAUGUCCUCCCAGUUCGUUAUCAUACAAAUACAAACCUUGGAGAUUUUUUAGCCUUUGUAUUGAAGUUGGAAUUGCUCCACUCAACUGAUUGUUUCCCAGGCUUAAUGAUAUCAAGCUGCUCAAGUUGCCAAUAUCAACUGGAAUGUUACCCCUGAUGUUCGAAUUUCUUAAAUUAACAUAUAGGAGUGACGUAGAGAGAUUCCCACGAGAAGCUGGAAUCAUGGUGUUUAGUGGAUUUCCUGCCAAGUAUAAUCUUGUCAAAUUUCUAAGAUUAAACAAGCAAGAGAGAGUGCUUGCUGCUUAUGGAGUAGAAGCAUGAAUUGUCAAAUUAUUCGAGUGCAGGUUUUUCAGGGAACAUAGCGUGGUAGGAAGAAUCCCGGUAAAUGAGUUUGUGUUCAUGUCUAGCUUCCAGAGCUUGGAAGCAUUGGAGAGGUUAGGGAGUAUUCCAGCCACGAGGUUACUUCUGGCUACAUAAAGGAUUUCUAGGUUUGGACCGUUAAGAGUCUUAACUUAAGACCGCUGUUUGCUGGGAGGCUACUUGAGAGCUGAUUGAAAGAACGCCCUAUUUCUCUUAUCAUGCAGAGAUUGAAGAGUUUGGAUGGGAUGACGCCACUGAGAUUAUUAAUAACAAGUCCCAAAAUCUCUAACUACGGAAGAUUACCAAUAUCAUCCGGUAUUGUAUCUGUUAUAAUUUCAGCACAUUUGCAUUAAAUUUUUAACUUCAAUUUAACUAAAAACUAAAAGCGAAAUGAUUAUCAAACAAUCCUAAAUUUACUACCUAUUAAAUUAUUGUCAUUAAGAUAAAUCUUGGUUAAGUAGGUCAAAUUGCCAAGACUUUUGGGUAUGCUUCCAAGGAAAUUGUUAGACCCUAAUAAGAUUUCACAAAGCUCUUUGCAUUGCCACAGUUUGGAGGGAAUAAGACCGUCAAACUGGUUUCGACCCAAAUUAAAUCGUCGAAUACUCAGAAGAUGCUCACAUAUAUUUUUCGGAAGACUGCCACUAAUAUUGUUUCCAUAUGGAGCCAAAGUAGUCAAAGAAGAUAUGUUGAGGACAGGCACAAUAGCAGAGCCUUUUAGGGCAUUGGACUGCGCAUACAACUCCUCCAGCUGAUCUAAACUACCCAUCUCGUUUGGAAAUUCUAUAAAUCAAUCAGUAUAUAUUGUUAAAAUCAUGUAAACAUAUAUAGGAGUUGCUUCUUAUUAGGAAUCCUGUUCUACCGUAGCAAAAGUGGGAUAAUAUUAUAAGGACCAUGUACAACUAUAUAGGUUCUCUUUUUGCUCCAGCAUACGAGGGUCUUACAUAGUAAAUAUACGAUCCCUAUGAUAGUCCUCUUAUUGUAUUUUUGCUAAAGUGGAACGAGAUUCCUGCUAAGAAGGGGCUCGUAUCUAAACUACUUACUACCUCAAUCAAAACUACAUGAAAUUACAAUUUUAACACCCAAACCAAAACUGCACAAAAAUAAAAAAAACUAUGGGUAAUUUAGUAAGGGCUGUGCUAUCCACACACCCCAUUUUACUUCUCACACACCCCUUGAUAAUUUAUGUAUGUUGAUAUUCUUCAAUUGAUUCGAUCCGACGGCCGAAAAUUAAAAAGGUUUGUGAGAAGUAAAAUGGGAUGUGUGCAUAUCACACCCCUUUAGUAAUUACAUGAACAUAACUUUUGUUGUUAUUUAGGGCAACCUCACAGCUAGGUCACCAUAGCAUGCCAUAUUUAAAAAUUAAAAAUAAAAUAAAAUAGUAAAUAAAAAACAUGCCUACUUUAGAAGAAACUGCUCAUCAUUUUCCCAAUUUUUAUAAGGGGUGUGCUAUCCACACAUUUUUUUACUUCUUACACAUUCCUUGUUAAUUUAUGUCCGUUGAUCUUCUUCAUUUUAUCCGAUACUACGGCUGAAGAUUAGAAGGGUGUGUGAAAAGUAAAAAGGGUGUGUGGAUAUCACACCCCUUUUUUUAUAAUUGAUUUAUUGUUUUAGAAUUUUAAAAACUAAUCACACUACUUAGUAAAAAAAACAAAAUGAAAUGAAAUUAUACAAAACCUAAGUCAUACAGUAUACCUUCGAACUUCUUGUCGUCAAGGUUUAUGCAAUUCACCAUUGUUAAGUUGCCUAUUUCUCUGGGUAUGCUACCUGUUAAAUAUGUGCAUGGAUUCCAACAAAAAAGAAGGCAAAAAAAACGAAGGAGAUGAUUGUUAUACAUCUUAUAUAUAGAUGUUAAAAUGUAAUCAUGAAGCAAGCAACAUUAAUUUAUAUUCCUAGCUGUUGGUAAUGGUGGUACGUACGUACCUGAUAGUUGGUUCGUGCUCAAACUAAUCAUUUCGAGUGCAGAUAAGUUGAAGAUAGCAGCGGGUAUGAAACCAGAGAAGCCAUUACCGUACAAUUUGAUGGUUUGAAGUUUAGGAAAGGACCCAAAUCACGAAGGAAUGGUUCCCAUAAAGCUGUUGUUUCCAAAGUUAAUUGCCUUCAACCGGCGCAAACGAGACAGUUCUUGCGGUAGGGAACCAUGAAAGCUAUUAUUCUUAAGGCCUAACUCAACGAGAAAUGAGUGGUUGCCUAGAUGCGGAGGAAUAACUCCGGCAAGACCCAUGUGCGAGAGAUUUAAGGCCGUUACUCUGUGGUGGCGAGCACCGCAGCUAACGCCAACCCAGUUGCAAAUGUCGGAAUUGAAGGCAAACGACCAGUUGGCGGUCAAGAUGUUUUGAGGGUCACUAGUGAUGUGAGCCUUGAGAGCAAGAAGCACAGACUGAUCUGUGCUGAAAUUGGUAUGAGAUAUUGCUAAUGCACCUGCAGUUAAGUAAUUAGCCAUAAUCAUCAUAUAGAUAUAACAUAAACAGUGUAUCAUCGACAACAUUUUUGAUGGUAGGAACCGACUUCUCUCCUUAAUUGUAGUAGUUUUCGUCUUUCGGUUUAAAUUCGAUCGAAAACUAGAGCUCAUUACAUUCACAUAAAUAGGGAAACGAGUUGGUGUUACCAAGACUUGUGAACGACAUAGACUUGCCCGGCGUCUAUGUCAAGGUGAGGAGACUUAGACUAGUCGAACGAAGACGAGUGGCAAGGAACACCUACCAUUCAUUUUUUGGAUUUUUUAACAUAUCAAACACACACCAUUCAUUUUUUACUGAUAGCUUGAAGGUGGCGUACGCCGUAAGCAACACCUACCAAUUGCAACUUGGAAGUGAGCAACGAGUGGUAAGGAUGUUUUGGUCUGUGGUGGUGAUAUUUGGUAAUUGGUGCUGCUAGCCGACGAGUUCUGUCCAUUUUGUGGUCACGGCUGGAGAUGCCCAAAUGUGGAAUUUUAGUCUUCAGUUCACCAUCAAAACAAACAACACCAUAAAUUUCAAGAUUGAUAUUUAAUGAUGACAUACAUUUUGAUUCAAAUGCAAAUGCAAAUGCGACCAAACACAUAACAGUUACAUUCUUCCGGAUGAAAUAUCUUUGCCGACAUUUACAUAUAAUCAAGCUCUAGUUGAACACUCUUCGGAUUCGAAAAUCAUCUAAACUUGGCUAAUCAGUUUUUUCUGAACAGAACAAACCAAAGAUGAUACGCAAACGGUCCAAGAAUUACGGUCUUAUGCUUCUAAAUUAUUAAUCAUGAUCGCAUGCAGACUUGCUAUUGGAGACGCUCUGAAUAUGCAAAGGCUUCUUAUAUGACUGCAACAAGAGAGAACAUACCACGCUUAGAGAUGAAGCAGGCAUGCACCUGCAAGCCAUGGUGGUAAUCGAAUUCCAGUGAAAGGGAACAAAACUCCAGCCGCCACCGGCAUGCUGAGGAUAUUGUAGCCCAGGGCGACAUAAUUCAAUCGAAUUCGAGACAUGGUCUUUCUAGAGAGAUCAAUGGCUGUAACUACAUCUUCCAAGUUGCUCUUCCUCAGAACUAUAAGCAGCUUAUAUAGCUAUGUCGGUGCCAGCACCAAUUGCCAUGCCAACAUCUCCUGCAACCAUAGCCGGAGGGUCAUUAAUUCCAUCUCCCAUCAUUGCCACCGCCAUUCCUUUCAUCUGCAUCCAAAUCGACUUUAACAAGUCAGAAAACACUAUGUUAGAUAACUCACAUAUCAAGUCAGAUACAAACUUAAUAUAGAAAAAUGUGUUUGAAGAUUUCUAUAAGACAUUAUUUUACCCUAGAUAAGUCAUUUGAAAUAUAAUUUAGUAAUCCUCAAUCUGCGUUCAAAACCAGAACAAAAUUACUUGUGGAGCUGGGUAAUUGUAAUCCACUCACACCACCCCUGUAACUAUUAUAUAAUCGUAACUGUAAUUCUUUGAUUCUAUCAGCUUUUCAUAGUGGAUCCGUCUCAGCACACCUUAUCAAUGCCAACCUCCAUCGCACUGGCUGCCGCUGUAGCCCAGUUAUCACCAGUAACCAUGAUGCUUGUAAUGUUUAUCGAGUGAAGAUAAGAGAUGACUCGUGCAGCCUCUGGCUUCACUGGGUCAGUUACAGCAAAAGACCCAGCAAUCUUUCCAUCAAUGGACACCAACACACACCUUCGAGCCAGAUUAUCAUGUUCUGAAACAUACUUGUCAACCUCAGGACCAACCUGGACAUUAUUUUCCCGCAUGAGCCUCAGCAAUCACCAUUUACCUACAUAUUUCUCAAAUAGAGGCAUGUUAGCAUGAUUGACAAAAUAAUAACAAUAAGUUGUCUCAUCUGUAACUUUACAAACUUCAAACUUUUCAUGAACAAAUUUGAAACAUAAGCACCAACCUCUGUGACAAUAGACACAGCACAGAACUCCUCCAUUGAGUAAUUGGAGAAGAGCACAGCAUUGACUACUACGGGUUUCCCAACUGUCUCUCUGGUUGAGGCUGCAUUCAUUUUGACACAUGGGAAGGGCUUACUCUCCUAGUGGCUCGGCUUGGUCUCGCUCCCUUCCCGCACUAUUCCUCCCCACUAAAAAGAUUUGAUAAUCUCAAUAACGUUCAGAAAGGUUAUUGAGAUAAAUCGAUGAAAUCUUUCAAGCCAGCAUGGGGCAAAAGCUAUCAAAACGGGUGAUUGGGGAAGGAGAGAUAGGUCCAUUCACGAACACUAUUGGUCCCUGUUUCAUAAAAAAACAACCGUUUUCACUGGCAGGGAUCAAACACGUCCGUAAACAUCCAGACACCAACAAGGUGUCAAAUACUAAGAAACGUAUCAACCUUCAUGAAUUAGGUACCGUCUGUUCAGCUUUUAAUUUUGGAAAGAACAAAAACCCCAAAAAGGACGAAACAAUUAUUAGCCUUGUUAUAAAAAAGGGAGUUGGGGUAAAGAGAACUCUCCUUCAAUGAGAGCUGUCAUCUACAAGAAAUGGGGAUAUAAAACUUGGCGAGUACGGCUUGGUGACAUGGACAAGGUGCAUACAGCCAUCAAUCGUCCAGAACCAAAGGGUCAUAUGAGACAGAUUCCAACUAUGAAAUAAUAGUUGCAUGUUCAAUCCCAAUAUAUGCAGGAAGAACAUCCUCCAUACCCAAUGACAUAGAUUGCAUUUAGUUUUAUGUCACGAGCCUAAACGUUGAUCGAACCAAGGCAGAGCGUUUAACUGGUCAGGAAUGAAGUCCAUAACUUGUUCUCAUACGGAACACUAACAUAAUGUAGGGUGGUAGUAUAGGGGAUAGUAUGAAAUGACCAGAACAAUAUGAGGAGAGCAACUUCAUAAUGGAGGAAUGACGAGAAAAAAAAAACUACACUUGCACCCUCAAGACAUAUAGAGAAUGUAUCUAAUCAGAAAUUGGUUUUUCCUAAACCACAACAAACAGGUUUUCGACGUCCUCAAAGGAAAUGUAGGAACAAGUAUAAUGAAGCAACUAAACACACCAGCAAAAACAACAUGAAAAUAAAAUGCAUGAAAACCAGAUUCUAAAUUAAAAAAGAAAUUUGUUUCCAAGGAUAAGGUGGUCUUACCUUAUAAGCCUUUUCAAGUACACUAGCAAAAAUGCCCGCACUCCGCUGCGGGGACUUCUAGAAGUAUGAUCUUGUACCAUUUGAUUUCUUUUGCCAUUCCUAGUUCUUUUUGGCAUCAUGUGCAAAACCAAAUUGAUAGAUAAAAAAAGGUCGUACCCAGUGCACAAGGCUCCCGCUUUACGCAGGGUCUGGGAGAGGUGAAUGUCGGCUAGCCUUACCCCCAUUUAUGGAGAGGGCUGCUCCCAAGUCUCGAACCCGAGACCUACCGCUCAUGGGCGAAGGCACUUGCCAUCACACCAAGUGCGACCUCUUUAUUAUAAUUAAGUAAAAAAAUGAUAGGUAGGAAGAAAAAAAUGAAAACACCUGCAUAAAUUCAAUUUUCCAUCACCCCUAUAUUAUAAUUAAAUAAAGCAAAACAUAAUAAUCAUCUCACAAUUACAGAAGCAAGGACUUUCAAAUGCCCCAAUUAGUUAACAGCCACUAUGCAUAAUUCUGAAAAAAUGAGUAUAAAAUUAACCUCUUUUGAAAAACGAAGGAAGAAAGAUGAAACCUUAAGCCAAGGAAUAUAACUAUGUUGAACUCAAUUAUUUGACAUUAAUUACACAAACCCAAUUCCAUAUAUAUAGCCAGACAGAAGCUUUAUCCUAGAGAGAAACCAUGCCCAAAUGAUUAUAAUUCAGAGCAUAAAAGGGAAGUGAGUUCCUUGGUUCCCACAUUGUAGAGACUAAAUCUCAAAACUUUGCCAAGCAUUACAGGAAACCAUGGAAAGAAUAAAAAUGACCACAAAGAUUGCAAAACAAUUAACCACAGGUGGUGUUUAUAUGCCCACUGAGAGAAAAGAGCUUGUGCAAGUGAAAAAACGUAUUUAUAUAAAACAGGCAUGCACCAUCUGAAAGAGCCUCUUGUAUCCAUUCCAAUUAUACUUAUGUCUACCAUAUCCCUCUACAAUUCCCCACCACCAAUCAACCAUAACUGAUUUCAAUACCCUUAGCUGCUUUAGUAGACCAUCUAGUGACACCAACUGCCACCAAAAUAAAAGACACGAUCAAGACCAUACAAAUUACAGACUAAGCUUAAAAACAACGGUUAUCUAUUAAGCAAAACUUGGAACUCCUUGACAUGGCAACCUCUUAAUCCAGGAUGUAGAGUAGAAAAGCAAAAUUAUUGACAAACCGAAAAAUAACAAUUUAACUUGCAUAGUAAACGAAUAUUAGUAAAGUUACAUAACUCAAUGGAUUACAUAAAUCUGUAAAAAAGCGAAACAUCAGUGUUUGGGAAGUUACCUUAUUUGAAAUGUCAGGAGCAUCUGGUGUACAUACAGGGUAGACAGUCCUUGCAAAAUUCAGGGCUUCAAAAUAAAAUAAAAUAAUAAAUUCAAAAGAAAUCAAAACUAUUAAUCCUAACAACUGUUUAGUAAAGGAUAAAACAAUCUUUCCAUCAAGCAAAUUUGAGAAACAAGUAAUGAAUGGAAUAACCCAAUUUCUAUCGCCAAUCACCCUUGCUGAGUGAUGAUUCACAUACUUCCUCAUAUUUGUUUAUGGGUUCCUGUCCAACAAAAUUUCGACUUAGUACCCAAAAACUGUAUCAGCUCACAAACACACAGAGGUUUAUCAAAUUCAAAGCAAAACCCACAUAUAUUCUCAAGAUUCUAGAGUUAAAAGAGGAGCAAGGAGGUUCGGUUAAGGAACCCAAAACGCUAUUUUAAUGAGCAAAUGAAUAUCUAAACUGGGGUUAACAAGUUUCAGCAAUAAAAAACAUGUCUUUCGAACGAAGUUGCAUAAAUUACAGAACUUUGGGAUUAAGGAGGAACAAAAAGCCCAAAUUCCAAUCAAGAAAAAAAAAAUGUAUGUAAAUUUAAGCUUUACCUGUAGAUUGGCAGCAGCAAAACAUACUGGAUCCAACGGGAGCCACGUGUGAGAACUGGAUGCCCAGCCUUUGACACGUUAUUGAGUGAGUUUAGGGAUCUGGGUUUUGUGUUUGCCGUUGAAUUUUGGAAUGAUCUGGAGAAAUUUGGGUUUUAGGGUUCUAAGGAUUUGAGUGAACUGAAAUUGAUUUGGAUGAGCAACUUUUAGUUUCGAUUCGCGGUGGAGCAAGGAUGAAGAGGUGGAGGAGGAAGGAAUGAAAGACUUAACUUCUAAAGUUUCAAGUGCUCAAGGAAGAAAAUAUCGGUAAUAUCGGAAAUAUCGGUAGUCUGAAAACAUGGAAAUAUCGAUGGAAAUAUCGGGAUAAUAUCGAUAUCGAUAAAAAUUACAUGGAAACCACGGAAAUUGUAAGAAAAACUUGGAAAUUUUUAUUGAAACUUUGCAGGAUGUUUAUUUAGUCAAUUAUCUAUUUGUUUAUCACAAAAAAUUGGAAGGAAAGGCAUUACAUGAUGGAUUUAACAUUAUCAAGUUGAUUAUAUAACGAGCUGACAAACAUUGUGAGUGUAGAAAAUAUGUAGAAAUUAAUGAAAGAAGUCUAAACACACCAUAAUCAUUUAUAUAUAAUGAAUUAGUACAAUAUUUUACACUUUAUACAUUGCAUGGUAAGAUACAUGAGUGACUUAGUACCACAUAGAGUUCCUAUGAGGUUCAAAAUUUUCACUAUCUUCAUCAUCUCUAUGUGUAGAGUGAGUGUAUUUUAAAGAGUAGUUAGCAACCAUGGCAAUGGUUUUCAAGAACCAAAACCCAAAAGUCAAUAGGAAACCGAAUACUUCGGUAUUUUUCGGGAUUACCAAACAAAUGGGAUUUGGAAACCAAUCCCAUAUCGAAAAUUUCGGUAUUUUUCGGGAUGGGAUUCCCGAACUUCAGGAUGGUUUUGGUUUGGGAUUUUUCGGUUUGGGUUUGGGACUUUUUCAAUUUGGUUUGGGAUUUUCCGGAAUUUUUUCCAGCCCUACCAUGUAAGUGACCAAAUAAAAAAUAGAAAAAUUAAAAACCACAUGCCAUUGACUAAGUAAUUAAUUGAUACAAUUUAAAAUAUAAUACCACAAAAAAUUUGGAAUAUGUGCAAAUUUGUUUCUUGUAAAAAGAAUUCAAAACAAAACCAUAUAUAUAAAUAUUGUAGCAUAUUAUCACAACAUCAUAAGUGGUAUAGUGGUUAAGGCGUUAAGGAGGUAAACUCGAGGAGUUCGAACCCUUCUAUGCUCAAAAUUGAGACUUUUCCAAAUUUUCAGGAAUUUUUUGACUAAUAUCGCGAUAUUUUGACGAAAACUCAUUGGAUACUCAUUAAAAUAUCGGUAACUCAAAAAAACGAAAAUAUCGGCGAAAUAUCGUCGAUAUUUUGGAUAUUUUCUUCCAUGCAAGUGCUCAACAAAUUUCGAUCAAUGUAUGUUUCAAUACUUCAAAAAAAGGGACAUGCAUCAAAGACUUUUAGGUGGAAAAAAAUAUGCAUUGGCUGAUGGAGAUAAUUAGGAUUUAAAAUGUUAAAAAUUUUCUUUUUGGCUCACUAAUUAGAUGCAAAAGUGAGACUGUGUGAACAAUUUUACACCCAGAAACAUGAACUACACAGAAUCACAACUGAUCGAACAAUGAGAAAGUAUAUAAGACAAUACACUAUCAAUAGGCUAAAACACUCUUUUAAUUGAUCUAACAAUAGGCUAAAACACUCUUUUAAUUGAUCUAACAAUAGGCUAAUAGGAUUAACUAAACCAUUAGAGACUGCAACAAUGAGAAAGUCUGAAGAUUAAAGUUCUAGUUGAAUAUCUUUGAACCCCUAGGUGUUGGAAACACUUUCAGUAAAUUUGUUCAGGAAAAUAUAGAAACUCAUGAUGCAAUUCCAUCGUCUGGGAUAGCACAUAUUUACCUGGAAUCCAACAUUAAGCUAACAUUUUUCAUAAGUUUAUUCUUUUUGUUAACUACACUGGAAUUUAUAAAACAAUUUUAGAAAAACUCGAGUCUAGAUAAUGAACUUUUGUUCCAGUUUAAAAAAUUUUGACUUGUGUUCUAAGCAACAUAAUGUAUUCACAUUUCAAUUGUGAAAGGCAGCAAUAAUCCCCGACUGAAGAUAUUAAAAAUCAGAACUUCUUCUCCAAGUUUUCAUUUAGUUUAUUUCACUUGUCCAUCGGAAUUUUAUGCAAAGAAGAUUAAAUAAAGACAAUAGCAUGCCAAAGAUUAAAACCCCUCAUUUCAAACUCUGCUAAUGCACAACUCUGUUUGGUUUUCUUCCCAGAGACC
This 40961-nucleotide long non-coding RNA is filed under the name Malus domestica (apple). RNAcentral describes it as "long non-coding RNA (MDOM_LNC003188)". The record is from RNAcentral. Lineage: Eukaryota; Viridiplantae; Streptophyta; Magnoliopsida; Rosales; Rosaceae.